RNAcentral lists this ribosomal RNA (845 nucleotides) under Escherichia coli. RNAcentral describes it as "partial 23S ribosomal RNA". It matches the Rfam family "Bacterial large subunit ribosomal RNA", at positions 1 to 888 of the family's 2925-position model. Lineage: Bacteria; Pseudomonadati; Pseudomonadota; Gammaproteobacteria; Enterobacterales; Enterobacteriaceae. The record is from RNAcentral.
GGUUAAGCGACUAAGCGUACACGGUGGAUGCCCUGGCAGUCAGAGGCGAUGAAGGACGUGCUAAUCUGCGAUAAGCGUCGGUAAGGUGAUAUGAACCGUUAUAACCGGCGAUUUCCGAAUGGGGAAACCCAGUGUGAUUCGUCACACUAUCAUUAACUGAAUCCAUAGGUUAAUGAGGCGAACCGGGGGAACUGAAACAUCUAAGUACCCCGAGGAAAAGAAAUCAACCGAGAUUCCCCCAGUAGCGGCGAGCGAACGGGGAGCAGCCCAGAGCCUGAAUCAGUGUGUGUGUUAGUGGAAGCGUCUGGAAAGGCGCGCGAUACAGGGUGACAGCCCCGUACACAAAAAUGCACAUGCUGUGAGCUCGAUGAGUAGGGCGGGACACGUGGUAUCCUGUCUGAAUAUGGGGGGACCAUCCUCCAAGGCUAAAUACUCCUGACUGACCGAUAGUGAACCAGUACCGUGAGGGAAAGGCGAAAAGAACCCCGGCGAGGGGAGUGAAAAAGAACCUGAAACCGUGUACGUACAAGCAGUGGGAGCACGCUUAGGCGUGUGACUGCGUACCUUUUGUAUAAUGGGUCAGCGACUUAUAUUCUGUAGCAAGGUUAACCGAAUAGGGGAGCCGAAGGGAAACCGAGUCUUAACUGGGCGUUAAGUUGCAGGGUAUAGACCCGAAACCCGGUGAUCUAGCCAUGGGCAGGUUGAAGGUUGGGUAACACUAACUGGAGGACCGAACCGACUAAUGUUGAAAAAUUAGCGGAUGACUUGUGGCUGGGGGUGAAAGGCCAAUCAAACCGGGAGAUAGCUGGUUCUCCCCGAAAGCUAUUUAGGUAGCGCCUCGUGAA